RNAcentral lists this ribosomal RNA (253 nucleotides) under uncultured bacterium. Its description in RNAcentral is "partial 16S ribosomal RNA". It matches the Rfam family "Bacterial small subunit ribosomal RNA", at positions 524 to 776 of the family's 1533-position model. The record is from RNAcentral.
GACGAACCGUGCGAACGUUAUUCGGAAUCACUGGGCUUAAAGCGCGUGUAGGCGGCCCGGCACGUCCGUCGCUGAAAUCCCCCGCUCAACCGGGGAAGUGGCGUGGAUACGACCGGGCUGGAGGGGGGUAGGGGGAGCCGGAACUUCCGGUGGAGCGGUGAAAUGCGUUGAGAUCGGAAGGAACGCCCGUGGCGAAAGCGGGCUCCUGGACCCCACCUGACGCUGAGACGCGAAAGCCAGGGGAGCGAACGGG